This 588-nucleotide ribosomal RNA is filed under the name Ramalina peruviana. Its description in RNAcentral is "eukaryotic LSU rRNA". The stretch from base 218 to 371 matches the Rfam family "5.8S ribosomal RNA". Lineage: Eukaryota; Fungi; Ascomycota; Lecanoromycetes; Lecanorales; Ramalinaceae. The record is from RNAcentral.
AACAAGGUUUCCGUAGGUGAACCUGCGGAAGGAUCAUUAAAGAGAGGGGCCUCGCGCUCCUGGGGACUCCGGUCCCCGCCUCUUCACCCGGUGAACACCUUUCUCCUUGUUGCUUUGGCGGGAAGUCGGCCUGACUCAGUCGGCGAACAACCCCGCCAGCAGCCCACGAAAAUGCAUCUUAUUUAUGCCCGUCCGAGUAUUAUUUCAAAUGAAUCAAAACUUUCAACAACGGAUCUCUUGGUUCUGGCAUCGAUGAAGAACGCAGCGAAAUGCGACAAGUAAUGUGAAUUGCAGAAUUCAGUGAAUCAUCGAAUCUUUGAACGCACAUUGCGCCCCUCGGUAUUCCGGGGGGCAUGCCUGUUCGAGCGUCAUUGCACCAUUCAAGCGUAGCUUGGUAUUGGGUUUUUCGCCGGGGGGUCUCCCCCCGGCGUGCCCGAAAAGCAUUGGCGGUCCGGUGCGACUUUAAGCGUAGUAAAUAUUCUCCCGCUUUGAAAGCCUCGCGCUGUGGCCGGCCAGACAACCUCCCAAUAUCUCACGAUUGACCUCGGAUCAGGUAGGGAUACCCGCUGAACUUAAGCAUAUCAAUAA